This 355-nucleotide transfer-messenger RNA is filed under the name Dehalococcoidia bacterium. It matches the Rfam family "transfer-messenger RNA". Rfam says of the family: Bacterial tmRNA, also known as 10Sa RNA or SsrA, is named for its dual tRNA and mRNA-like properties. Its role is to liberate the mRNA from a stalled ribosome. To accomplish this part of the tmRNA is used as a reading frame that ends in a translation stop signal. Lineage: Bacteria; Bacillati; Chloroflexota; Dehalococcoidia. RNAcentral also lists the same sequence under 1 other name. The record is from RNAcentral.
GGGGACGAGUGGGAUCGACAGGAGCUGAACGGACCAGGAUUGCGGGCCGAGGUGCCAUCAACCUCGCUAAACAGGUGGCAACUAAAUAAUUGGCGAACGAGAAGUCGCCCUCGCCGCUUAAUCAGCGGUGACGUUCACGAUGACCUUCUCCCGACGGGUCAUCGUGGGCGCCGUUAAGUCGGGAUGCUCCGUGCACGCGCGCCUCAGGCGUGCCCGGCUAAGACUUCUGAGGCUGGUCGGCCGACCCCUUGUCGGUGGAGGACGGUCGACGAGAAAACUCCGCCGGCUACGCCCGUAGUAGAUUCUGGCUGGAGGCUCUCUGGACGGGGAGUUCGACUCUCCCCCGUCUCCACCA